Molecule: ribosomal RNA, 119 nt
Filed under: Lupinus angustifolius (narrow-leaved blue lupine)
Lineage: Eukaryota; Viridiplantae; Streptophyta; Magnoliopsida; Fabales; Fabaceae
Source: RNAcentral
AGGUGUGAUAAUAACAGCACUAAUGCACCUGAUCGCAUAAGAACUCUGCAGAUAAGCGUACUUGGGCGAAAGUACUACUAGGACGGGUCACCUCUUGUGAAGUCCUCGUGUUGCACCUC